Molecule: long non-coding RNA, 461 nt
Organism: Trachymyrmex septentrionalis
Lineage: Eukaryota; Metazoa; Arthropoda; Insecta; Hymenoptera; Formicidae
Exons: 4
Source: RefSeq, a predicted model, not a curated record
AAAUCACGAAGGUGGAAGAGGAAGAAGAAGAAAAAGGAAAUAGCAGUGCACGCUUACGUACGCCCAUUACGGAGGACAAACAAAACGGAGGUUUUAGCUCCAUUUCAAACAGUACGACGAUAAGUAAACAAGAAGGCAACAACAGGAUCGAGGAUACACUUGCUUUACUACAUCAUCCUCUUUGAUGCCAUUCUUUAGACUUUGAAUGUCGUAAGAAGAGCGAGCAAGAGUGAGAGAGAAACAGGGGAAACACUAAGAGAGCAACAUCGCGAAAAAAAAUCAUCGAUAAUAGGAACAAAAGUAAUCGGAAACGUCAACAACCAAGUGAGAGAAUAUACAGAAUUCAUAAAAAAAACGCUAUGAAAUUUACGAAGUCAACUAAUCAUCGAAAUUACAUAUUUCGAUCUAACGGUACAGCUCGGCAACUAAUUCGUCAACGUCAUUUUUCAACGUCAACGUCA